CCAGCGUCCUCCCUCUUUACAUGGUCCUAAGGUGGAGGCACUUACGUCUGAGUGAAUGGUUAUAUUGAGGUGACUAAAGUUAGAAGAAGAUAUGCUCUGGAAUUGUGGGGAAGGCAAUGGUUUGCUGUGAUUGUGUUUGCUUAAUCUGGAUUCUUAUCAUCCACAGUUUUUAUUCAUCUUUCCUGCAAUGUACAGAGGCCAGAAAUUGCUCUCUGGAUCUUAUAAUCCUUUUCCUUUUGACAUCAAAAUAACAUCAUUGACGUGGACAGGGACAAGGAAUGAAAGUGACCCAGAUAAUGAAAUAAAAAUUUUCCUAUAUCAUUCUUGCUUUUGUUUAAUUCUGAUGGAUUAUGCCCCAAUUUAAUGAUUUGGGAUUGGAGAAGGACACAUUGGAAUUUUUCUACAAUUUGGAGUUGGAGGGUCCCUGGUAAGAUUCCAAGCUUUUACAUCCAUUCUUGUUUGCUUAUUAACAUUUGAUUUGAAAAUUUAGUUAAAUUGGUUGUAAUGUCAUUUGUGGAUAUGAAAUCAUGGGCGGCU
Molecule: unclassified non-coding RNA, 537 nt
Filed under: Hevea brasiliensis (rubber tree)
Lineage: Eukaryota; Viridiplantae; Streptophyta; Magnoliopsida; Malpighiales; Euphorbiaceae
Source: RNAcentral